GCCAAACUCCUCACUUCAAGUGCUUACAUGAAGGGGAACUGGUCAGGUUUCGUCUGCGCUACACAUAAACUUAUAGCAUACCCUUUAGCAAAGUAAAUCGCCUCAUGAAAAACUUCUUGGUCAAUUUCAGUUUCCACCGUAGUCCAGAAGUUCCCAUCAGUUUGCAGCUCAAAAGUAGGGGCCUGGUCAUAGUUUCCGUAAUAGUAGGUUGCGCGAACAAGAACUUCUUCGUCCUUGGUUGCAUUGAUAGU
This 251-nucleotide unclassified non-coding RNA is filed under the name Hevea brasiliensis (rubber tree). The record is from RNAcentral. Lineage: Eukaryota; Viridiplantae; Streptophyta; Magnoliopsida; Malpighiales; Euphorbiaceae.